This 267-nucleotide ribosomal RNA is filed under the name uncultured soil bacterium. RNAcentral's name for it is "partial 16S ribosomal RNA". It matches the Rfam family "Bacterial small subunit ribosomal RNA", at positions 26 to 281 of the family's 1533-position model. The record is from RNAcentral.
AGAAUCAACGCUGGCGGCGUGCCUAACACAUGCAAGUCGAACGCGAAAGUCCCGCAAGGGGCAAGUAGAGUGGCAAACGGGUGAGUAACACGUGGGUGACCUGCCUUCGAGCGGGGGAUAACGUCCCGAAAGGGACGCUAAUACCGCAUAACAUCCUGCCUUUGAAGAGGUGGAGAUCAAAGCUGGGGAUCGCAAGACCCGGCACUUGAAGAGGGGCCCGCGCCUGAUUAGCUAGUUGGUGGGUAAUGGCCUACCAAGGCAACGAUC